Long non-coding RNA from Triticum dicoccoides, 230 nucleotides. RefSeq lists it as uncharacterized. Lineage: Eukaryota; Viridiplantae; Streptophyta; Magnoliopsida; Poales; Poaceae. The record is from RefSeq and is a predicted model, not a curated record. The transcript is spliced from 3 exons.
CAAAGGGCAACCUUCAUCACACACAACCCCAUAACAGGGCCUCAAGGCCGACGCCAAAAGUGGUGCUUGUGGUGCCAAGCAAGACUAACUGUAUGUGAGAUUUUGGUCCAUCUGUACACCAUCUUUGGGGUCCAGGCGUACGCCUCCAUGCUUGUCGGCGGUGCCCUUUCCUUCAACCUCGUCUUCCCCUCCAGCGAGCCAGACAUGUGGAGGCUCAUGGGGAUGUGGUG